Molecule: ribosomal RNA, 847 nt
Filed under: Curvularia miyakei
Lineage: Eukaryota; Fungi; Ascomycota; Dothideomycetes; Pleosporales; Pleosporaceae
Description: eukaryotic LSU rRNA
Rfam family: Eukaryotic large subunit ribosomal RNA
Source: RNAcentral
GGGAUUGCCCUAGUAACGGCGAGUGAAGCGGCAAGAGCUCAAAUUUGAAAUCUGGCUCUUUCAGGGUCCGAGUUGUAAUUUGCAGAGGGCGCUUUGGCUUUGGCAGCGGUCCAAGUUCCUUGGAACAGGACGUCACAGAGGGUGAGAAUCCCGUACGUGGUCGCUAGCUAUUGCCGUGUAAAGCCCCUUCGACGAGUCGAGUUGUUUGGGAAUGCAGCUCUAAAUGGGAGGUAAAUUUCUUCUAAAGCUAAAUAUUGGCCAGAGACCGAUAGCGCACAAGUAGAGUGAUCGAAAGAUGAAAAGCACUUUGGAAAGAGAGUCAAACAGCACGUGAAAUUGUUGAAAGGGAAGCGCUUGCAGCCAGACUUGCUUGCAGUUGCUCAUCCGGGCUUUUGCCCGGUGCACUCUUCUGUAGGCAGGCCAGCAUCAGUUUGGGCGGUGGGAUAAAGGUCUCUGACACGUUCCUUCCUUCGGGUUGGCCAUAUAGGGGAGACGUCAUACCACCAGCCUGGACUGAGGUCCGCGCAUCUGCUAGGAUGCUGGCGUAAUGGCUGUAAGCGGCCCGUCUUGAAACACGGACCAAGGAGUCUAACAUCUAUGCGAGUGUUUGGGUGUCAAGCCCGAGCGCGUAAUGAAAGUGAACGGAGGUGGGAACCCGCAAGGGCGCACCAUCGACCGAUCCUGAAGUUUACGGAAGGAUUUGAGUAAGAGCAUGGCUGUUGGGACCCGAAAGAUGGUGAACUAUGCUUGAAUAGGGUGAAGCCAGAGGAAACUCUGGUGGAGGCUCGCAGCGGUUCUGACGUGCAAAUCGAUCGUCAAAUUUGGGCAUAGGGGCGAAAGACUAAUC